Molecule: transfer RNA, 116 nt
Filed under: Neonectria ditissima
Lineage: Eukaryota; Fungi; Ascomycota; Sordariomycetes; Hypocreales; Nectriaceae
Rfam family: tRNA
About the family: Transfer RNA (tRNA) molecules are approximately 80 nucleotides in length.
Source: Rfam by way of RNAcentral
GGUAAGGUGGCCGAGUGGUUAAGGCGGCAGGUUCAAGCUUUUAAGGAGUUUGCCCACUUCAAAUGGGUUAUUUUCUGCUGGAGCAAUCCUCGCAGGUUCGAGUCCUGCCCUUAUCA